RNAcentral lists this unclassified non-coding RNA (336 nucleotides) under soil metagenome. RNAcentral describes it as "partial contains 5.8S ribosomal RNA, internal transcribed spacer 2, and large subunit ribosomal RNA". The stretch from base 1 to 120 matches the Rfam family "5.8S ribosomal RNA", at positions 35 to 154 of the family's 154-position model. The record is from RNAcentral.
GAUGAAGAACGCAGUGAAAUGCGAUACGUAAUGUGAAUUGCAGAAUUCAGUGAAUCAUCGAAUCUUUGAACGCACAUUGCGCCCGCCAGUAUUCUGGCGGGCAUGCCUGUUCGAGCGUCAUUUCAACCAUCAAGCCCCCGGCUUGUGUUGGGGACCUGCGGCUGCCGCAGGCCCUGAAAAGCAGUGGCGGGCUCGCUGUCACACCGAGCGUAGUAGCAUACAUCUCGCUCUGGGCGUGCUGCGGGUUCCGGCCGUUAAACCACCUUCAUAACCCAAGGUUGACCUCGGAUCAGGUAGGAAGACCCGCUGAACUUAAGCAUAUCAAUAAGCGGAGGA